UGGUUGACGGUUUAUCAACUCCGUUAGUGAAAAAUUAUUCUGUCGUGACGUGGCUUAUUAAAUAAAUUUCCAAAGACCAAAUUCUCUUAUAGGUCAGUGAACUUACUAUGAUACCCUUAAACCUCAAGCCUAAAUUUCAUACACCUUCUUCUCCCAUCGACCAAAAUAUCCUGACGACCUACAAAAAUAGAUGUCAUGAACUUGACACCGGAAAAGAGAUGGGUUUCAGACGCACAGUUUCCCAAAUGGGCUUCAGAGCCUUGCAUUAUGGUAUGGGCAUCGGUGAGUCGGUCAGUAAAGCUGAUAUAUACUUAUUUGUGCAGCUGAACAGAGAGGGAGAAGGAGAAGAAGGGCUACGCAGGGGCUCAACUCAAAACCUGAUACGGAGAAGAAGAAGGGGGCUCAACUUGGAAUUGACAAUGAAUCUGUUGACAAGGUUUAGGAUGAUUUUUUGAAGCGGUUGGAACAAUUGGAACCGAAGAGGAGUUGAACGGAGACCAUCCCUUCGAUGCACUGUGUUCCCGAAUCUCCUCGUUGAUCAACAAAAACAGAGAAGUGUAAGUGAGCAGGAGAAGAGGAAUGGAGGUUAUUCCGUCACUUGCCGACCAUCGCCUGAGCUCGACCGGGAACAGAGAC
Macadamia integrifolia is the source of this 636-nucleotide long non-coding RNA. RefSeq lists it as uncharacterized. The transcript has 2 exons. The record is from RefSeq and is a predicted model, not a curated record. Lineage: Eukaryota; Viridiplantae; Streptophyta; Magnoliopsida; Proteales; Proteaceae.